This 1487-nucleotide ribosomal RNA is filed under the name uncultured bacterium. RNAcentral describes it as "partial 16S ribosomal RNA". It matches the Rfam family "Bacterial small subunit ribosomal RNA". The record is from RNAcentral.
AGAGUUUGAUCCUGGCUCAGGACGAACGCUGGCGGCGUGCUUAACACAUGCAAGUCGAGCGGUAAGGCCUCUUCGGGGGUACACGAGCGGCGAACGGGUGAGUAACACGUGGGUGACCUGCCCUCAGCUCUGGGAUAAGCCUGGGAAACUGGGUCUAAUACCGGAUAUGACCUUUCACUGCAUGGUGGGGGGUGGAAAGUUUUUCGGCUGGGGAUGGGCCCGCGGCCUAUCAGCUUGUUGGUGGGGUGAUGGCCUACCAAGGCGACGACGGGUAGCCGGCCUGAGAGGGCGACCGGCCACACUGGGACUGAGAGACACGGCCCAGACUCCUACGGGAGGCAGCAGUGGGGAAUAUUGCGCAAUGGGCGGAAGCCUGACGCAGCGACGCCGCGUGGGGGAUGACGGCCUUCGGGUUGUAAACCUCUUUCGCCAGGGACGAAGAGUGAUUGACGGUACCUGGAUAAGAAGCACCGGCCAACUACGUGCCAGCAGCCGCGGUAAUACGUAGGGUGCGAGCGUUGUCCGGAAUUAUUGGGCGUAAAGCGCGCGCAGGCGGUUUCUUAAGUCUGAUGUGAAAGCCCCCGGCUCAACCGGGGAGGGUCAUUGGAAACUGGGAAACUUGAGUGCAGAAGAGAGAGUGGAAUUCCACGUGUAGCGGUGAAAUGCGUAGAGAUGUGGAGGAACACCAGUGGCGAAGGCGACUCUCUGGUCUGUAACUGACGCUGAGGCGCGAAAGCGUGGGGAGCGAACAGGAUUAGAUACCCUGGUAGUCCACGCCGUAAACGAUGGGUGCUAAGUGUUAGAGGGUUUCCGCCCUUUAGUGCUGCAGCUAACGCAUUAAGCACUCCGCCUGGGGAGUACGGUCGCAAGACUGAAACUCAAAGGAAUUGACGGGGGCCCGCACAAGCGGUGGAGCAUGUGGUUUAAUUCGAAGCAACGCGAAGAACCUUACCAGGUCUUGACAUCCUUUGCCACUUCUAGAGAUAGAAGGUUCCCCUUCGGGGGACAAAGUGACAAGUGGUGCAUGGUUGUCGUCAGCUCGUGUCGUGAGAUGUUGGGUUAAGUCCCGCAACGAGCGCAACCCUUGAUCUUAGUUGCCAGCAUUCAGUUGGGCACUCUAAGGUGACUGCCGGUGACAAACCGGAGGAAGGUGGGGAUGACGUCAAAUCAUCAUGCCCCUUAUGACCUGGGCUACACACGUGCUACAAUGGAUGGUACAAAGGGCUGCGAGACCGUGAGGUGGAGCGAAUCCCUUAAAGUGGGUCUCAGUUCGGAUCGGGGUCUGCAACUCGACCCCGUGAAGUUGGAGUCGCUAGUAAUCGCAGAUCAGCAACGCUGCGGUGAAUACGUUCCCGGGCCUUGUACACACCGCCCGUCACGUCACGAAAGUUGGUAACACCCGAAGCCGAUGGCCUAACCCCCUGGUGGGGAGGGAGUUGUCGAAGGUGGGACUGGCGAUUGGGACGAAGUCGUAACAAGGUAACCGU